UGUGUAGGCGGUUGCUUAAGUUUGGUGUGAAAUCUCCCGGCUCAACUGGGAGGGUGCGCCGAAUACUGAGUGACUCGAGUACGGGAGAGGAAAGUGGAAUUCCUGGUGUAGCGGUGAAAUGCGUAGAUAUCAGGAGGAACACCGGUGGUGUAGACGGCUUUCUGGACCGUAACUGACGCUGAGACACGAAAGCGUGGGUAGCAAACAGGAUUAGAUACCCUGGUAGUCCACGCCCUAAACGAUGCACAUUUGGUGUGGGUCAUUCAGCUGAUCCGUGCCGGAGCUAACGCGUUAAAUGUGCCGCCUGGGGAGUACAGUCGCAAGGCUGAA
This 330-nucleotide ribosomal RNA is filed under the name uncultured bacterium. Its description in RNAcentral is "bacterial SSU rRNA". It matches the Rfam family "Bacterial small subunit ribosomal RNA", at positions 568 to 898 of the family's 1533-position model. The record is from RNAcentral.